AUUAAACUAAAGAGUUUGAUCCUGGCUCAGGACGAACGCUGGCGGCGUGCCUAACACAUGCA
RNAcentral lists this ribosomal RNA (62 nucleotides) under Clostridiales bacterium. RNAcentral describes it as "partial 16S ribosomal RNA". It matches the Rfam family "Bacterial small subunit ribosomal RNA", at positions 1 to 59 of the family's 1533-position model. The record is from RNAcentral. Lineage: Bacteria; Bacillati; Bacillota; Clostridia; Eubacteriales.